CCGAGUUACAGUGGUUUCCCCAGAUCCUUGCCAAGAGAUCUGACUACGCUUUCAGGGAGUGAUUGGAGGUCCUCAGAGUGGUGGUGAACCCCGUGUGGAAAUCUCAGAGCUGCCCAGUCAAGCUGCCCAGGGCCCCGUGCCUGGAGGACCGUGUGCACCUGGGCUGCCAAGUGAAGCGUAUCCUGAACAUUACCUCAUGAAGAGAGACUUUCUGUGCCAGUCAGUUGGAGGUUAUAGUUGGAAGUUAUCUUGGAGAUCAUCUAAGACCACUUCCUCCGGGUACCAGUGAGAGACUGAGAUUAGAGACCAAAGUGAUGCCUGUGGAUAAAAAGCCCACCAGUGGCCGGCUCUCCUGCAUCCUCAAAACUUUACUCCCUCGGUUGGUCCUCAGUCGAAAACACCUCUUAAAAUCUAUCCAGUUUAACAAAUAUCUUUCGAGGGCUGACUGCCAAGUGCUGUGUGAAGCUCCCUGGAGGCACAUAAAUGUGAAUAAGCCCUGAUUAAUGUUCAGAGAAGCUCACAGUUCAGAGAGGAGCCAAUUGUGCCUGGAGAUGCUUGGACUACACACUGGAAAAUGCAAAUAUGGAGGGAAAAAGGCAAGAGAGUAACUACUGCAGGUGCUCUGAGCUGUGUAUUUCCAAGACAGCUUCACUCCAUAGGAUUUGUGUGUCCUUCUUCCUUAGGAUCGUCUCCCUUUGGAGCCUGGCGGUGGAUGCAGGGAACACAACCUCUCCAGAGCUACUUGAGGCCCAUUAGGAAUGCCUUACAGACUUUGGGCCAGCCCUUUCCUCCAGUGUCUCUCAGCUUUUCACGUUCUAGUUCUCAGAAGAUGUGCUUCAAAACCACAGGUCUGUUUCAUCCUAGUCAGUGUUGCAGAUGUUUCUCAAGCCUUGCAACAUAAAGAGUGUAUCUCUGACUUUGUCCUGAUGGGAAGCAUUGGAAGAGAACCACGAAAGCUAUGGAGAAGAAAGAUAUCGAAGACGUUCAUUCUAGUCGCUAAAGAUGAAGAAAAGCCUGAUGCAGAGAGGUAGAAAUUCCAAAGGGGUUUAGAGAGAUGCAUCUCAUUACCUCUGGUGUCUGUAUGAACUAUAAAGAUGAAUCUGAAACAAUCAAUGUGAGGCACCUGGAUGGCAACUAGCUCUUGAUAAUGGCUCAGGUUGUGAUCUUUUGGUUUGUGAGAUCAAGCUCCACAUGGGGCUUUGCACUGAGCAUGGAGUCUGCUUGGGAUUCUCUCUCUCUGUCUCUCUCCCUCUCUCUCUUUCUGUCUCCACCUGCUCAUGUACACAUGCAUGUGCUCUCUCUCAAAAUAAAUAAAUAAAAACUUUAAAAUAAUAAAAUAAAACAACC
Molecule: long non-coding RNA, 1347 nt
Filed under: Suricata suricatta (meerkat)
Lineage: Eukaryota; Metazoa; Chordata; Mammalia; Carnivora; Herpestidae
Description: lncRNA (ENSSSUG00005012723.1)
Source: RNAcentral